UCCUUUAAGUCCGAGUUUCUCGUGUGACAUCCUUGUCUGACAUUUCCCACAGACUUUCAAGUUGGGAGUUUCUCUAGCAGAUAUAAUCAUCUUCAUCCCUUUCUUCUUGACUGAAGUACAUUUUAAGGAGUAACUAAUUUGAGAGUUCCAUAUGUAACAGUUGUCUUUGGUCCUUAUUCCUUUCAUAAUCACUUCACUGUCUUUGUUAGUAAUCAGACAUUCAGUUUUGGUGAAGUUAACAUUCCGACCUUGAUCACAUAGUUGACUGAUGCUU
RNAcentral lists this long non-coding RNA (274 nucleotides) under Lathyrus oleraceus (garden pea). RNAcentral describes it as "Pisum sativum (pea) long non-coding RNA (PSAT_LNC020239)". Lineage: Eukaryota; Viridiplantae; Streptophyta; Magnoliopsida; Fabales; Fabaceae. The record is from RNAcentral.